RNAcentral lists this ribosomal RNA (387 nucleotides) under uncultured bacterium. RNAcentral's name for it is "bacterial SSU rRNA". It matches the Rfam family "Bacterial small subunit ribosomal RNA", at positions 624 to 1010 of the family's 1533-position model. The record is from RNAcentral.
GGAUGGAAACUGCCAAUCUAGAGUAUCGGAGAGGAAAGUGGAAUUCCUAGUGUAGCGGUGAAAUGCGUAGAUAUUAGGAAGAACACCAGUGGCGAAGGCGGCUUACUGGACGAAAACUGACGCUGAGGCGCGAAAGCCAGGGGAGCGAACGGGAUUAGAUACCCCGGUAGUCCUGGCCGUAAACGAUGGGUACUAGGUGUAGGAGGUAUCGACCCCUUCUGUGCCGGAGUUAACGCAAUAAGUACCCCGCCUGGGGAGUACGACCGCAAGGUUGAAACUCAAAGGAAUUGACGGGGCCCGCACAAGCGGUGGAGUAUGUGGUUUAAUUCGACGCAACGCGAAGAACCUUACCAGGUCUUGACAUUGAUGGACAGAACUAGAGAUAGU